GCUAUCUCACUCGAAGGUUGAAGCAUUUUAUUUUGAAAAAAAGACUAAUCGAAUACUAAAAAGAAAUUUGUAUUUUUUGAAAUACAGCUAGGUUUGGAUAUUGCCGAAAAUGUUCGCCAUUCGGCAAUUUCGGCAAUUCUUAAUUUUACA
Molecule: non-coding RNA, 150 nt
Organism: Caenorhabditis elegans
Lineage: Eukaryota; Metazoa; Nematoda; Chromadorea; Rhabditida; Rhabditidae
Source: Ensembl